Molecule: long non-coding RNA, 1815 nt
Filed under: Homo sapiens (human)
Lineage: Eukaryota; Metazoa; Chordata; Mammalia; Primates; Hominidae
Description: HSALNT0341080
Source: RNAcentral
ACUUGUGCCCAGAGUUUGAUUUUCCACAGACCAGGUAGAGGCCAAGAGCCUCUCACAGACUCUGCAGCAGGGUUGCUAUGAUUAACUCUUAAGUACUCCACAACUACACGCUUUUGAAACUGGCGUUGGCAUAGCGUUAGUUCUGUGCAGGGCGGACGCAGCAGGACAGAAUCUCCCUGGGCAUCUUUUCGGAGCAUCAAUUUUACUGCAAAAUUUUGAAAAAACAAAUUUAAUUGAUUUCCAAGGUUUGUCAAGGAGGACAGAAACUCAGAGCACCCUGCACUUGGGGAUCGGCACUAGGAGCUGCUCUCUGGAUGGGGAGAUGGGAGCUAGCAGCUCACAAUGGGGUCACAAGACAGGAGUGUUAUUGGGAGAAUCCUGUUUUGUUGACAAAUACUGAGAUCAUCCAACUCACCAGGCAAAGUUGACUUGUGUAAGUGAUCUUCAGAUAUGAAAAGUGUGGAACCCAGCUGCUCCUCCUCAGAUAGGCGACAUGACAAUUGUAGGCCUGGAGGGAGAUGAGUUGACAACAUCCCUUCCCUAUAACCACUUGUUGGAUCUGAUCUCACAUACACAGACUCACUCCAAAGACUGACCUGGGUGUCUGCUUCUCAGCUUCAUUAACAGUGGGUGCUCACAAGUCUAGUGGAGAGAAUGUCUGAGAAGAGGAGGACCUUGACUGCUCCUGAACCGGAGACCUCAGAACCAUGGUGCUCUCCUGUCCAGGCUGAACACUAAUGCUCUUGAGAGUCACAUUGAAGAAAGCCAACAUUUUUAAAUCUAAUGGAUACAUUCAUUUUGUGGUAUGUGAUGUUUAGAAAGAGGGAGCUAAAGUUAGUGGUCAUGAGCUAAAUACCCUGUGAGUAGUAACAGGAUCUUCUACACUGUAGCUGCUUCCAGUGUGAGCCAGACAAAUGUACUGAAUAUAGGUAAGUACUGCUCAGUUUUCUCCAUGAGCUUCAUCCUCAGGGCCACGUUUCUUAUUCUGACAACACUUAGGGAUGCUUUCCUGGUAGGAAUACUGCUGUUCUUAAUUGCAUACAUGGUGACUCUCUUAUUCAGGCCUCAGAGGUGAUCCCACCACCUUCACAGCAAUGGUCCUUCCCCAGGAGCUUCCCCUGAGAAACGGGCCAUCCAGACCAUACUGCUGCUGAAUAAUGUCUCAUUGGAAAUCUCAACAUUCUUCAUUUAGAACACCACCGCCAAUAUCUACCAUAUGCCGGGAUUAUUGUGCAGGGUAAUUUUUAUUAUUACUUGAAUGUAUAUUUAUAUACUGCAGGAACUAUACAUGUUUAUGGCUAGAAUUACUGUUUUUCCUUAAUAUUAAGAUAGUAUUGGUAGAUUUAAUUAUCUGAAUUUAGUCAUUUGGCUCCAGUCAAAAUGGUUUCUCCUUAGCAGUACUCUGACUUUGUAAAAGUAAUCACAUUUGGAUUCUGUUUCCUCCAGUAGUUUUUAAAAUGAUUUUUUUGAUUAUUCAUAUAACUUUUUUUUAAUGAUCUUUUAAAAACUAGUAUGUGGUUAUAUAUUACUUGUUACACUUUUUGUUUUCUUUAUUUUUUGGUUGGUUACACCUUAAAUGAUUAUUUCUAUUGCCUUUUAAUGUUACUUAGAAAAUAUCACAUGUAAGACUUUUGCUUUUAUAAAGUUAGUAAUACAUUUUCAAGCCUAAACUCUUGAAAUUUUAAUAAUUUCUAUGAUAUUUGAAAAUUAUUUUUAUCUUCUUUUGAGUGCUAAAAGAUAAUAUUUGUCUACCUGAUUAACUAGCACAACUUUUAAAAAGUUAUUUAGCACUCUUUAUAUUCAUUCAUUUGUUUU